CCUACGGGAUGCAGCAGUGGGGAAUAUUGGGCAAUGGGCGCAAGCCUGACCCAGCAACGCCGCGUGAAGGAAGAAGGCUUUCGGGUUGUAAACUUCUUUUCUCAGGGACGAAGCAAGUGACGGUACCUGAGGAAUAAGCCACCGCUAACUACGUGCCAGCAGCCGCGGUAAUACGUAGGUGGCAAGCGUUAUCCGGAUUUACUGGGUGUAAAGGGCGUGUAGGCGGGACUGCAAGUCAGAUGUGAAAACCAUGGGCUCAACCUAUGGCCUGCAUUUGAAACUGUAGUUCUUGAGUACUGGAGAGGCAGACGGAAUGCCUGGUGUAGCGGUGAAAUGCGUAGAUAUUAGGAGGAACACCAGUGGCGAAGGCGGUCUGCUGAACAGCAACUGACGCUGGGGGGCAAAAGCGUGGGGAGCAAACAGGAUUAGAUCCCUAGUAGUC
Molecule: ribosomal RNA, 442 nt
Filed under: uncultured bacterium
Lineage: Bacteria
Description: partial 16S ribosomal RNA
Rfam family: Bacterial small subunit ribosomal RNA
Source: RNAcentral